CGUUGUUCGGAAUUACGGGGCGUAAAGCGCACGUAGGCGGGUAUUUUAAGUCAGGGGUGAAAUCCCGCAGCUCAACUGCGGAACUGCCUUUGAUACUNGGGUAUCUUGAGUAUGGAAGAGGUAAGUGGAAUUGCGAGUGUAGANGGGAAAUUCGUAGAUAUUCGCAGGAACACCA
This 175-nucleotide ribosomal RNA is filed under the name proteobacterium DGGT1. RNAcentral's name for it is "partial 16S ribosomal RNA". It matches the Rfam family "Bacterial small subunit ribosomal RNA", at positions 539 to 711 of the family's 1533-position model. The record is from RNAcentral. Lineage: Bacteria; Pseudomonadati; Pseudomonadota; Alphaproteobacteria; Hyphomicrobiales.